CUCCCCUAACAUAAGAGGUCCCGCCUGCCCCCUGACUAUAUGUUUAAUGGCCACGGUAUCCUAACCGUGCAAAGGUAGCGCAAUCAUUUGUCUUCUAAUUAAAGACCUGUAUGAAUGGCAUAACGAGAGCUUAACUGUCUCCUCUUUAAAGUCAAUUAAAUUGAUCUCCCCGUGCAGAAGCGGGGAUGCACACAUAAGACGAGAAGACCCUGUGGAGCUUUAGGCACUAAUAUAUAUACAUUACACAAGUAUAUCUUAUAUUUCAACGCCUUUGGUUGGGGCGACCAAGGAGAAUUAACUAACCCCCAUGUGGAAUAGAAACACUUCUUCUUAAACCAAGAGUUACAACUCUAAUUAAUAGAACUUCUAACCAUUCAAGACCCGGCAACGCCGAUCCACGAACCAAGUUACCCCAGGGAUAACAGCGCAAUCCCCUUCAAGAGCCCAUAUCGACAAGGGGGUUUACGACCUCGAUGUUGGAUCAGGACACCCCAAUGAUGCAUCCGUUAUUAAAGGUUCGUUUGUUCAACGAUUAAUGUCCUACGUGAUC
This 550-nucleotide ribosomal RNA is filed under the name Synbranchus royal. Its description in RNAcentral is "Synbranchus sp. r MA-2022 partial large subunit ribosomal RNA". It matches the Rfam family "Bacterial large subunit ribosomal RNA", at positions 1835 to 2605 of the family's 2925-position model. Lineage: Eukaryota; Metazoa; Chordata; Actinopteri; Synbranchiformes; Synbranchidae. The record is from RNAcentral.